RNAcentral lists this ribosomal RNA (443 nucleotides) under uncultured bacterium. RNAcentral describes it as "partial 16S ribosomal RNA". It matches the Rfam family "Bacterial small subunit ribosomal RNA", at positions 338 to 795 of the family's 1533-position model. The record is from RNAcentral.
CCUACGGGAGGCAGCAGUGGGGAAUAUUGGGCAAUGGAGGCAACUCUGACCCAGCAACGCCGCGUGAAUGAUGAAGGUCUUCGGAUUGUAAAGUUCUGUGAUGGGGGAUGAACACAAUGACGGUACCCCAAUAGCAAGCCACGGCUAACUACGUGCCAGCAGCCGCGGUAAUACGUAGGUGGCAAGCGUUAUCCGGAAUGACUGGGCGUAAAGGGUGCGUAGGUGGUUUAGUAAGUUGGGGGUGUAAUUCCGGGGCUCAACCUCGGCGCUACCGCCAAAACUAGUAGACUAGAGUGCAGGGGAGGUAAGUGGAAUUCCUAGUGUAGCGGUGGAAUGCGUAGAUAUUAGGAGGAACAUCAGGGGCGAAGGCGACUUACUGGACUGUUACUGACACUGAGGCACGAAAGCGUGGGGAGCAAACAGGAUUAGAUACCCCAGUAGUC